RNAcentral lists this ribosomal RNA (492 nucleotides) under uncultured bacterium. RNAcentral's name for it is "partial 16S ribosomal RNA". It matches the Rfam family "Bacterial small subunit ribosomal RNA", at positions 29 to 507 of the family's 1533-position model. The record is from RNAcentral.
AUUGAACGCUGGCGGCAUGCUUUACACAUGCAAGUCGAACGGUAACAGGCCUCCGGGUGCUGACGAGUGGCGCACGGGUGGGUAAUGCACCGGAACGUGCCCAGAGGUGGGGGUUAACGCAGCGAAAGCUGUGCUAAUAUCGCACGUGAUCUGAGGUCGAAAGCGGGGGACCAGGCAGCAAUGUUUGGCCUCGCGCCUUUGGAGCGGCCGAUGUCGGAUUAGGUAGUUGGUGGGGUAAAGGCCUACCAAGCCGACGAUCGGUAGCUGGUCUGAGAGGACGAUCAGCGACACUAGAACUGAGACACGGCCCAGACUCCUGCGGGAGGCAGCAGUGGGGAAUUUUGGACAAUGGGCGCAAGCCUGAUCCAGCGAUGCCGCGUGCGGGAAGAAGGCCUUCGGGUUGUAAACCGCUUUUGUACGGAACGAAAAGGCUCUGGCUAAUACCUGGGGCUGAUGACGGUACCGUAAGAAUAAGCACCGGCUAACUACGUG